RNAcentral lists this ribosomal RNA (251 nucleotides) under uncultured bacterium. Its description in RNAcentral is "partial 16S ribosomal RNA". It matches the Rfam family "Bacterial small subunit ribosomal RNA", at positions 524 to 776 of the family's 1533-position model. The record is from RNAcentral.
UACGUAGGGUGCAAGCGUUCCGGAAUUAUUGGGCGUAAAGAGCUCGUAGGCGGUCUGUCGCGUCGGCUGUGAAAACCCGGGGCUCAACCCCGGGCCUGCAGUCGAUACGGGCAGACUAGAGUGUGGUAGGGGAGACUGGAAUUCCUGGUGUAGCGGUGAAAUGCGCAGAUAUCAGGAGGAACACCGGUGGCGAAGGCGGCUCACUGGCUCAUUACUGACGCUCAGGCGCGAUAGCGUGGGGAUCAAACAGG